AAUUAAAUAUUUUGGAUGUAAGAAUUACAAACAAUCAAUAGUUUUUUUAAGGUUAAUUUCAUAUAGGUCCCUACAAAUAUAGUGAAUGACAAAUAUAUUUCUAUAAAGUUCAACUUUCAUAUAUUGUCCCUAUAAAAGUUUUGAUAUUUUCAAAAUAUGUCCCUCUAGUUUGUUACUGUUAGAGAAUCGUUAGAGAACUGAUUAUUUUUUUAAUUUUGCCAUCAUAAAUAUGUCCCUCCAAAAAAGCCAUAACAGUAUAAUAUAAGAGGAUAAAAAUGUCAAAAACUAACUAGGGUUAACUAUUUAAUCUAUGGUUAACUAAAUUUUUCUAACGGAUUCUAACGGCAGGGACAUAUUUGAAAAUAUCAUGACUUUUGUAAGAAAAUAUAUAAAAGUUAAAUUUUGUAGAAAUAUAUUUACCAUUCAUUAUGUUUGUAGGGAUAUGUAUGAAAUUAAUCCUUUUUUAUACUUAUUUUAUAUAAAAUUUUAUUUUAAAAAAUAGUAAACGAUAAUAAU
This 516-nucleotide long non-coding RNA is filed under the name Ananas comosus (pineapple). RNAcentral's name for it is "long non-coding RNA (ACOM_LNC042764)". The record is from RNAcentral. Lineage: Eukaryota; Viridiplantae; Streptophyta; Magnoliopsida; Poales; Bromeliaceae.